RNAcentral lists this ribosomal RNA (253 nucleotides) under uncultured bacterium. RNAcentral's name for it is "partial 16S ribosomal RNA". It matches the Rfam family "Bacterial small subunit ribosomal RNA", at positions 524 to 776 of the family's 1533-position model. The record is from RNAcentral.
UACGUAGGUGGCAAGCGUUGUCCGGAGUUAUUGGGCGUAAAGCGCGCGCAGGCGGUGCGGUAAGUCUCUGGUGAAGGCGCUCGGCUUAACUGGGCGAGGGCCGGGGAGACUGCCACGCUGGAGGGGAGCAGAGGCGAGUGGAAUUCCGGGUGUAGUGGUGAAAUGCGUAGAGAUCCGGAGGAACACCAGUGGCGAAGGCGGCUCGCUGGGCUCUACCUGACGCUGAGGCGCGAAAGCGUGGGGAGCGAACCGG